Molecule: unclassified non-coding RNA, 926 nt
Filed under: Hevea brasiliensis (rubber tree)
Lineage: Eukaryota; Viridiplantae; Streptophyta; Magnoliopsida; Malpighiales; Euphorbiaceae
Source: RNAcentral
CUCAAUGCCUAGGAUAAACACAACGCUGGCUAUCUGUUUUGAUGCAGGAAUCUGAUUGGGGAGCAACAAAAAGUAUUGUUUUAAGAAAGAGAACUGUGGAAGGAAGCCAUUCAUUGUUUUUUCUAGAGAGAGAGGAUUUGACCCAUAUAAUAAAACUUUUGUUUUAAAAGAUAGAGGGAGGAGAAUGGAACAGUGUGGAUUAUAAUUAAGAAAUGUUGAGCCCAACAACAGGUUACUUCAGGAAUUGGUGAGUCCAGUAUGAUUUAUGUUUUAUUUUUGAUGGCGGGUGAGUGGACAUAAGGUGAUCAAGCAAGAGAGAGGAAGCAGGGAGUAUGUGCUACUUUCUAACAAAUCAGAUGCCUUGCUUAAAACUCUUAAAACGACAAUGUAAUAGCAUCUCAUUCAAAGCUAAAAGUGAGAUUAGGGUAUAGUCUUCCCCAAUCAAUUCUUGUGAUAUAACUCUAAGUAUCUAACUGAAGUUACCCAAUUGUUGAGUGGUUAAAAUAUUGGAUUUAGUCUUGAUAACUAUCUAUGAAGUUAUUUUCCUAAGGAGUUUUUAUUAGGUGAAGGAAGAGGGUAACACCAAAGAAGAUAAUAUAUAACAAAAUUAAAAUAUGCAUAUUUAACAGAAUUCAUAUGACAAUCAAAACCUAUCCCAUACAACAUAUGCUUUUCAUGCAAAAUCAAUGCACUUGCUAAAAUAUUAUACGUCCUCAAUAAGCAUGAGUGACACUCAAGCAAAACUUAAGCAAUUUGACUGGGCAAUUCAAGUAAAUCGCAACAACCCAAAAAUAUGCCCAUCCAAUCCUCCUCAUCUCCCAAAAGGAACUUACAGGGGGGCAAAAAAUUCACAGUCAAUGAGUGUUAACAGGAAGUAAGCAUGCAACAUAUUGAACAGCUAGACAGACAUAUUAUGGUAGAAUCCU